Molecule: ribosomal RNA, 383 nt
Filed under: uncultured organism
Description: bacterial SSU rRNA
Rfam family: Bacterial small subunit ribosomal RNA
Source: RNAcentral
UGGAUUAGGCAUGCAAGUCGCGGGAAUGCCCAGCAAUGGGUGGAACCGGCGUAAGGGGCAGUAAGGCAUGGGUAACGUACCCCUGGAUUUGGCAUAGCCCGUAGAAAUACGGGGUAAUUCCAAGCGACGUGGCGAGCGGGCAUCCGUUUGCUACCAUAGCUCCGGCGUCCGGGGAGCGGCCCAUGUAGUAUUAGCUAGUUGGUGAGGUAACGGCUCACCAAGGCGAAGAUGCUUAGCGGGUGUGAGAGCACGACCCGCGCCACUGGCAUUGAGACACUGGCCAGACACCUACGGGUGGCUGCAGUCGAGGAUCUUCGGCAAUGGGCGCAAGCCUGACCGAGCGACGCCGCGUGGGCGACGAAGGCCUUCGGGUUGUAAAGCCC